GAUGAACGCUGGCGGCGUGCCUAAUACAUGCAAGUCGAGCGAACAGACGAGGAGCUUGCUCCUCUGACGUUAGCGGCGGACGGGUGAGUAAAACGUGGAUAACCUACCUAUAAGACUGGGAUAACUUCGGGAAACCGGAGCUAAUACCGGAUAAUAUAUUGAACCGCAUGGUUCAAUAGUGAAAGAAGGUUUUGCUGUCACUUAUAGAUGGAUCCGCGCCGCAUUAGCUAGUUGGUAAGGUAACGGCUUACCAAGGCAACGAUGCGUAGCCGACCUGAGAGGGUGAUCGGCCACACUGAAACUGAGACACGGUCCAGACUCCUACGGGAGGCAGCAGUAGGGAAUCUUCCGCAAUGGGCGAAAGCUUGACGGAGCAACGCCGCGUGAGUGAUGAAGGUCUUCGGAUCGUAAAACUCUGUUAUUAGGGAAGAACAAAUGUGUAAGUAACUAUGCACGUCUUGACGGUACCUAAUCAGAAAGCCACGGCUAACUACGUG
RNAcentral lists this ribosomal RNA (497 nucleotides) under uncultured bacterium. RNAcentral describes it as "partial 16S ribosomal RNA". It matches the Rfam family "Bacterial small subunit ribosomal RNA", at positions 28 to 507 of the family's 1533-position model. The record is from RNAcentral.